This 428-nucleotide ribosomal RNA is filed under the name Streptomyces sp. 196-3.2-CV-H26(h)-06. Its description in RNAcentral is "bacterial SSU rRNA". It matches the Rfam family "Bacterial small subunit ribosomal RNA", at positions 59 to 506 of the family's 1533-position model. The record is from RNAcentral. Lineage: Bacteria; Bacillati; Actinomycetota; Actinomycetes; Kitasatosporales; Streptomycetaceae.
AAGUCGAACGAUGAAGCCCUUCGGGGUGGAUUAGUGGCGAACGGGUGAGUAACACGUGGGCAAUCUGCCCUUCACUCUGGGACAAGCCCUGGAAACGGGGUCUAAUACCGGAUAACACUCCUGCCUGCAUGGGCGGGGGUUAAAAGCUCCGGCGGUGAAGGAUGAGCCCGCGGCCUAUCAGCUUGUUGGUGGGGUAAUGGCCCACCAAGGCGACGACGGGUAGCCGGCCUGAGAGGGCGACCGGCCACACUGGGACUGAGACACGGCCCAGACUCCUACGGGAGGCAGCAGUGGGGAAUAUUGCACAAUGGGCCGAAAGCCUGAUGCAGCGACGCCGCGUGAGGGAUGACGGCCUUCGGGUUGUAAACCUCUUUCAGCAGGGAAGAAGCGAAAGUGACGGUCCUGGCAGAAGAGCGCCGCUACUACGU